AGACUGAGUUUAGGGCACACCGG
Molecule: non-coding RNA, 23 nt
Filed under: Cricetulus griseus (Chinese hamster)
Lineage: Eukaryota; Metazoa; Chordata; Mammalia; Rodentia; Cricetidae
Source: RNAcentral